UACGUAGGGGGCAAGCGUUAUCCGGAUUCACUGGGUGUAAAGGGAGCGUAGACGGCCAUGCAAGCCUGGAGUGAAAGCCCGGGGCCCAACCCCGGGACUGCUCUGGGAACUGUGCGGCUGGAGUGCGGGAGGGGCAGGCGGGAUUCCUGGUGUAGCGGUGAAAUGCGUAGAUAUCAGGAGGAACACCGGCGGCGAAGGCGGCCUGCUGGACCGCGACUGACGUUGAGGCUCGAAAGCGUGGGGAGCAAACAGG
This 253-nucleotide ribosomal RNA is filed under the name uncultured bacterium. RNAcentral describes it as "partial 16S ribosomal RNA". It matches the Rfam family "Bacterial small subunit ribosomal RNA", at positions 524 to 776 of the family's 1533-position model. The record is from RNAcentral.